RNAcentral lists this ribosomal RNA (407 nucleotides) under uncultured bacterium. Its description in RNAcentral is "partial 16S ribosomal RNA". It matches the Rfam family "Bacterial small subunit ribosomal RNA", at positions 28 to 526 of the family's 1533-position model. The record is from RNAcentral.
GACGAACGCUGGCGGCGUGCCUAAUACAUGCAAGUAGGACGCAGUUGCGAACGGUUGAGUAACGCGUAGGUCACUACCUAUUAGAGGGGGAUAACUAUUGGACACGAACGCUAAUCCCGCAUACUAGUAGAUGGACCUGCGUUGUAUUAGCUAGUAGGUAGGGUAAUGGCCUACCUGGGCAACGAUACAUAGCCGACCUGAGAGGGGGAUCGGCCAGACUGGGACCGAGACAAUGCCCAGACUGCGACGGGAGGUAGCAGUAGGGACACUUCGGCAAUGGGGGGAACCCGGGACGAGCAACUGCGCGGGAGUGAAGAAGGGGUUCGGAUCGUAAAGCUCUGUUGUUAAUGAAGCGGUACUUAACCAGAAAGGGACGGCUAACUACGUGCCAGCCGCCGCGGUAAUAC